CCUCCAUGUUAGCAAAUCGAAAAAAAGCAGAGCCCCGGCAGACUGGAGGGGGUCCACCUCUGCAGCCCUCACAGAGGCUGAGGAGAUGGCCCUCAGCCAACAGAGUAUGCGUCCUGUGGCUGAGGGCAUCCCUGGGGGGAGCUCCUCUGAUCCCCCUCACCCCCCAGGAUAGAAGUGCCUUUAUAAGAGGUUGGUUAUUCAAAAUAAUUAAAUAUGUACACGCAACCCGGCGCGUUGCAAAUUAGAUGGGGCAAUAUUCUGGCUCAAGUAAUAAUUUCACUGUCUAAUCAUCUUCUUCCAGUUACUGAUGGCGUCAUCGCCCUACUUGAACCAGAUGCCCUCACCAACCUCCAUGCAAUUGAAGAUGAUGGAGAACAUUGUCUGCGGCAUUCGAAAGGGAAGAGGAAAGGCCUAUUGAGGAUGAAAUCGAAUCCAAUGAGAGGCCAUCCACUUCUAAAUCACAGCUUACCUCUGUAAGAUUCUCCCUGGAAUUAUAAUGAAACGCUCUACUUGGCAGUGUGAAAUCCAAUCUCAUCUUUUGCAUUCCUAUAGCUUCCAGUCAAAGACUCAAAGACUCUCUAUCUAGAAAAGCAAAUACACAAAGCAGACUUGGAAAUGGACCACCUUAGGCAAAAGAUGCAAAAGGAUGCUUUGGAGAUCCACAUUUUGGAACAUAAGUUAAAGGUGGGUGAGGUGCAAA
Long non-coding RNA from Gadus macrocephalus (Pacific cod), 700 nucleotides. RefSeq lists it as uncharacterized. The transcript has 3 exons. Lineage: Eukaryota; Metazoa; Chordata; Actinopteri; Gadiformes; Gadidae. The record is from RefSeq and is a predicted model, not a curated record.